GUCUACAGCAUACCACUCUGAAGAGGCCUGAUCUCCUCUGAUCUUGGAAGCGAAGCAGGGUGGGAACUGGUUAGUACUUCGAUGGAGAGAAGGAGGGCGCAAGGAGAGCCGGAGAGA
This is a ribosomal RNA of Cavia aperea (Brazilian guinea pig), 117 nucleotides long. The record is from Ensembl. NCBI's taxonomy places the organism in Eukaryota, Metazoa, Chordata, Mammalia, Rodentia, Caviidae.